GGGUUGUGAGGUUAAGCGACUAAGCGUACACGGUGGAUGCCCUGGCAGUCAGAGGCGAUGAAGGACGUGCUAAUCUGCGAUAAGCGUCGGUAAGGUGAUAUGAACCGUUAUAACCGGCGAUUUCCGAAUGGGGAAACCCAGUGUGUUUCGACACACUAUCAUUAACUGAAUCCAUAGGUUAAUGAGGCGAACCGGGGGAACUGAAACAUCUAAGUACCCCGAGGAAAAGAAAUCAACCGAGAUUCCCCCAGUAGCGGCGAGCGAACGGGGAGCAGCCCAGAGCCUGAAUCAGUGUGUGUGUUAGUGGAAGCGUCUGGAAAGGCGUGCGAUACAGGGUGACAGCCCCGUACACAAAAAUGCACAUGCUGUGAGCUCGAUGAGUAGGGCGGGACACGUGGUAUCCUGUCUGAAUAUGGGGGGACCAUCCUCCAAGGCUAAAUACUCCUGACUGACCGAUAGUGAACCAGUACCGUGAGGGAAAGGCGAAAAGAACCCCGGCGAGGGGAGUGAAAAAGAACCUGAAACCGUGUACGUACAAGCAGUGGGAGCACGCUUAGGCGUGUGACUGCGUACCUUUUGUAUAAUGGGUCAGCGACUUAUAUUCUGUAGCAAGGUUAACCGAAUAGGGGAGCCGAAGGGAAACCGAGUCUUAACUGGGCGUUAAGUUGCAGGGUAUAGACCCGAAACCCGGUGAUCUAGCCAUGGGCAGGUUGAAGGUUGGGUAACACUAACUGGAGGACCGAACCGACUAAUGUUGAAAAAUUAGCGGAUGACUUGUGGCUGGGGGUGAAAGGCCAAUCAAACCGGGAGAUAGCUGGUUCUCCCCGAAAGCUAUUUAGGUAGCGCCUCGUGAAUUCAUCUCCGGGGGUAGAGCACUGUUUCGGCAAGGGGGUCAUCCCGACUUACCAACCCGAUGCAAACUGCGAAUACCGGAGAAUGUUAUCACGGGAGACACACGGCGGGUGCUAACGUCCGUCGUGAAGAGGGAAACAACCCAGACCGCCAGCUAAGGUCCCAAAGUCAUGGUUAAGUGGGAAACGAUGUGGGAAGGCCCAGACAGCCAGGAUGUUGGCUUAGAAGCAGCCAUCAUUUAAAGAAAGCGUAAUAGCUCACUGGUCGAGUCGGCCUGCGCGGAAGAUGUAACGGGGCUAAACCAUGCACCGAAGCUGCGGCAGCGACGCUGAUGCGUUGUUGGGUAGGGGAGCGUUCUGUAAGCCUGCGAAGGUGUGCUGUGAGGCAUGCUGGAGGUAUCAGAAGUGCGAAUGCUGACAUAAGUAACGAUAAAGCGGGUGAAAAGCCCGCUCGCCGGAAGACCAAGGGUUCCUGUCCAACGUUAAUCGGGGCAGGGUGAGUCGACCCCUAAGGCGAGGCCGAAAGGCGUAGUCGAUGGGAAACAGGUUAAUAUUCCUGUGCUUGGUGUUACUGCGAAGGGGGGACGGAGAAGGCUAUGUUGGCCGGGCGACGGUUGUCCCGGUUUAAGCGUGUAGGCUGGUUUUCCAGGCAAAUCCGGAAAAUCAAGGCUGAGGCGUGAUGACGAGGCACUACGGUGCUGAAGCAACAAAUGCCCUGCUUCCAGGAAAAGCCUCUAAGCAUCAGGUAACAUCAAAUCGUACCCCAAACCGACACAGGUGGUCAGGUAGAGAAUACCAAGGCGCUUGAGAGAACUCGGGUGAAGGAACUAGGCAAAAUGGUGCCGUAACUUCGGGAGAAGGCACGCUGAUAUGUAGGUGAAGUCCCUCGCGGAUGGAGCUGAAAUCAGUCGAAGAUACCAGCUGGCUGCAACUGUUUAUUAAAAACACAGCACUGUGCAAACACGAAAGUGGACGUAUACGGUGUGACGCCUGCCCGGUGCCGGAAGGUUAAUUGAUGGGGUCAGCGCAAGCGAAGCUCUUGAUCGAAGCCCCGGUAAACGGCGGCCGUAACUAUAACGGUCCUAAGGUAGCGAAAUUCCUUGUCGGGUAAGUUCCGACCUGCACGAAUGGCGUAAUGAUGGCCAGGCUGUCUCCACCCGAGACUCAGUGAAAUUGAACUCGCUGUGAAGAUGCAGUGUACCCGCGGCAAGACGGAAAGACCCCGUGAACCUUUACUAUAGCUUGACACUGAACAUUGAGCCUUGAUGUGUAGGAUAGGUGGGAGGCUUUGAAGUGUGGACGCCAGUCUGCAUGGAGCCGACCUUGAAAUACCACCCUUUAAUGUUUGAUGUUCUAACGUGGACCCGUNNUGGUCGGACAUCAGGAGGUUAGUGCAAUGGCAUAAGCCAGCUUGACUGCGAGCGUGACGGCGCGAGCAGGUGCGAAAGCAGGUCAUAGUGAUCCGGUGGUUCUGAAUGGAAGGGCCAUCGCUCAACGGAUAAAAGGUACUCCGGGGAUAACAGGCUGAUACCGCCCAAGAGUUCAUAUCGACGGCGGUGUUUGGCACCUCGAUGUCGGCUCAUCACAUCCUGGGGCUGAAGUAGGUCCCAAGGGUAUGGCUGUUCGCCAUUUAAAGUGGUACGCGAGCUGGGUUUAGAACGUCGUGAGACAGUUCGGUCCCUAUCUGCCGUGGGCGCUGGAGAACUGAGGGGGGCUGCUCCUAGUACGAGAGGACCGGAGUGGACGCAUCACUGGUGUUCGGGUUGUCAUGCCAAUGGCACUGCCCGGUAGCUAAAUGCGGAAGAGAUAAGUGCUGAAAGCAUCUAAGCACGAAACUUGCCCCGAGAUGAGUUCUCCCUGACUCCUUGAGAGUCCUGAAGGAACGUUGAAGACGACGACGUUGAUAGGCCAGGUGUGUAAGCGCAGCGAUGCGUUGAGCUAACCGGUACUAAUGAACCGUGAGGCUUAACCUUACAACGCCGAAGCUGUU
This 2841-nucleotide ribosomal RNA is filed under the name Escherichia coli. RNAcentral describes it as "bacterial LSU rRNA". It matches the Rfam family "Bacterial large subunit ribosomal RNA". The record is from RNAcentral. Lineage: Bacteria; Pseudomonadati; Pseudomonadota; Gammaproteobacteria; Enterobacterales; Enterobacteriaceae.